RNAcentral lists this ribosomal RNA (429 nucleotides) under Gemmatimonadota bacterium. Its description in RNAcentral is "Gemmatimonadetes bacterium partial 16S ribosomal RNA". It matches the Rfam family "Bacterial small subunit ribosomal RNA", at positions 355 to 776 of the family's 1533-position model. The record is from RNAcentral. Lineage: Bacteria; Pseudomonadati; Gemmatimonadota.
UAGGGAAUCUUCGGCAAUGGACGAAAGUCUGACCGAGCAACGCCGCGUGAGUGAAGAAGGUUUUCGGAUCGUAAAACUCUGUUGUUAGAGAAGAACAAGGACGUUAGUAACUGAACGUCCCCUGACGGUAUCUAACCAGAAAGCCACGGCUAACUACGUGCCAGCAGCCGCGGUAAUACGUAGGUGGCAAGCGUUGUCCGGAUUUAUUGGGCGUAAAGCGAUCGCAGGCGGUUUCUUAAGUCUGAUGUGAACGCCCCCGGCUCAACCGGGGAGGGUCAUUUGAAACUGGGAGACUUGAGUGCAGAAGAGGAGAGUGGAAUUCCAUGUGUAGCGGUGAAAUGCGUAGAUAUAUGGAGGAACACCAGUGGCGAAGGCGGCUCUCUGGUCUGUAACUGACGCUGAGGCUCGAAAGCGUGGGGAUCAAACAGG